This 212-nucleotide long non-coding RNA is filed under the name Ursus americanus (American black bear). RNAcentral's name for it is "lncRNA (ENSUAMG00000027290.1)". The record is from RNAcentral. Lineage: Eukaryota; Metazoa; Chordata; Mammalia; Carnivora; Ursidae.
UGGCGUCAGGCUCCGCGAGCGCCGUUUCCUGUUGUCAGUGGCGGAGAGGCCGCAGCGUCGGGUCGGAGGCUUAGAGGCUGCAGCGGCCAGGAGUGCCCCCCGCCCGGUCCCCGCUCCCUCUGGUGUCAUGUGAUUCUCCGAGGGAGCUGCUGUGUGCGUGGAAAUGCUCUCAGUGGUGGAGAAUGGACUGGACCCCCGGGCUGCCAUCCCGG